GACGAACGCUGGCGGCGUGCCUAAUACAUGCAAGUUGAGCGAUGAAGAUUGGUGCUUGCACCAAUUUGAAGAGCAGCGAACGGGUGAGUAACGCGUGGGGAAUCUGCCUUUGAGCGGGGGACAACAUUUGGAAACGAAUGCUAAUACCGCAUAACAACUUUAAACAUAAGUUUUAAGUUUGAAAGAUGCAAUUGCAUCACUCAAAGAUGAUCCCGCGUUGUAUUAGCUAGUUGGUGAGGUAAAGGCUCACCAAGGCGAUGAUACAUAGCCGACCUGAGAGGGUGAUCGGCCACAUUGGGACUGAGACACGGCCCAAACUCCUACGGGAGGCAGCAGUAGGGAAUCUUCGGCAAUGGACGAAAGUCUGACCGAGCAACGCCGCGUGAGUGAAGAAGGUUUUCGGAUCGUAAAACUCUGUUGGUAGAGAAGAACGUUGGAGAGAGUGGAAAGCUCAUCAAGUGACGGUAACUACCCAGAAAGGGACGGCUAACUACGUG
This 497-nucleotide ribosomal RNA is filed under the name uncultured bacterium. RNAcentral's name for it is "partial 16S ribosomal RNA". It matches the Rfam family "Bacterial small subunit ribosomal RNA", at positions 28 to 507 of the family's 1533-position model. The record is from RNAcentral.